RNAcentral lists this ribosomal RNA (644 nucleotides) under uncultured Verrucomicrobiota bacterium. RNAcentral's name for it is "bacterial SSU rRNA". It matches the Rfam family "Bacterial small subunit ribosomal RNA", at positions 52 to 680 of the family's 1533-position model. The record is from RNAcentral. Lineage: Bacteria; Pseudomonadati; Verrucomicrobiota.
UAGAUGCAUGUCCGGUUGCAGCAAUGUAAACGGGUGGGAGCGGCGCAAGGGUGCGUAACGCGUGGGCAAUUUGCCGUGAAGUUGGGAAUAACUCGCUGAAAGGCGAGCUAAUGCCGAAUGUGGUUGCCUGGUGGAAUCACCGGGUUACUAAAGUUGGGGACCGAAAGGCCUGACGCUUCACGAUAAGCCCGCGCCCUAUCAGCUAGUUGGUGAGGUAACGGCCCACCAAGGCUAAGACGGGUAGCUGGUCUGAGAGGACGACCAGCCACACUGGAACUGAGACACGGUCCAGACACCUACGGGUGGCAGCAGUCGAGAAUUUUUCACAAUGGGCGCAAGCCUGAUGGAGCGACGCCGCGUGCGGGAUGAAGGGCUUCGGCCCGUAAACCCCUGUCAUUUGCGAACAAACCUUGCCUGAUAACACCAGGCGAGCUGAUUGUAGUGAAAGAGGAAGGGACGGCUAACUCUGUGCCAGCAGCCGCGGUAAUACAGAGGUCCCAAGCGUUGUUCGGAUUCACUGGGCGUAAAGGGUGCGUAGGUGGUGAGGUAAGUCGGAUGUGAAAUCUCUGAGCUCAACUCAGAAAUGGCAUUGGAAACUACCUUGCUUGAGGAUUGGAGGGGGGACUGGAAUUCACGGUGUAGCA